Molecule: transfer RNA, 72 nt
Filed under: bacterium
Lineage: Bacteria
Also listed under: 2 other names
Description: tRNA-Glu
Rfam family: tRNA
About the family: Transfer RNA (tRNA) molecules are approximately 80 nucleotides in length. Their secondary structure includes four short double-helical elements and three loops (D, anti-codon, and T loops). Further hydrogen bonds mediate the characteristic L-shaped molecular structure. tRNAs have two regions of fundamental functional importance: the anti-codon, which is responsible for specific mRNA codon recognition, and the 3' end, to which the tRNAs corresponding amino acid is attached (by aminoacyl-tRNA synthetases). tRNAs cope with the degeneracy of the genetic code in two manners: having more than one tRNA (with a specific anti-codon) for a particular amino acid; and 'wobble' base-pairing, i.e. permitting non-standard base-pairing at the 3rd anti-codon position.
Source: RNAcentral
GGCCCCUUCGUCUAUCGGUUAGGACACAUGGUUCUCAUCCAUGAAAGAGGAGUUCGACUCUCCUAGGGGCUA